GAGGCUAGUCUAACAAGAUAGCUAAUUUCGACUUAGCAGAUUAUGGUGUAACCCCAUAGCCCCCU
RNAcentral lists this transfer RNA (65 nucleotides) under Heleophryne purcelli (Cape ghost frog). RNAcentral's name for it is "tRNA-Arg". Lineage: Eukaryota; Metazoa; Chordata; Amphibia; Anura; Heleophrynidae. The record is from RNAcentral.